CCCGGGCUUUUGAUACGCUU
This 20-nucleotide non-coding RNA is filed under the name Arabidopsis thaliana (thale cress). The record is from RNAcentral. Lineage: Eukaryota; Viridiplantae; Streptophyta; Magnoliopsida; Brassicales; Brassicaceae.